RNAcentral lists this ribosomal RNA (497 nucleotides) under uncultured bacterium. RNAcentral describes it as "partial 16S ribosomal RNA". It matches the Rfam family "Bacterial small subunit ribosomal RNA", at positions 28 to 507 of the family's 1533-position model. The record is from RNAcentral.
GACGAACGCUGGCGGCGUGCCUAAUACAUGCAAGUUGAGCGCUGAAGGUUGGUACUUGUACCAACUGGAUGAGCAGCGAACGGGUGAGUAACGCGUGGGGAAUCUGCCUUUGAGCGGGGGACAACAUUUGGAAACGAAUGCUAAUACCGCAUAAAAACUUUAAACACAAGUUUUAAGUUUGAAAGAUGCAAUUGCAUCACUCAAAGAUGAUCCCGCGUUGGAUUAGCUAGUUGGUGAGGUAAAGGCCCACCAAGGCGAUGAUACAUAGCCGACCUGAGAGGGUGAUCGGCCACAAUGGGACUGAGAAACGGCCCAAACUCCUACGGGAGGCAGCAGUAGGGAAUCUUCGGCAAUGGACGAAAGUCUGACCGAGCAACGCCGCGUGAGUGGAGAAGGUUUUCGGAUCGUAAAACUCUGUUGGUAGAGAAGAACGUUGGUGAGAGUGGAAAGCUCAUCAAGUGACGGUAACUACCCAGAAAGGGACGGCUAACUACGUG